AGUCGAGAAUUUUUCUCAAUGGGCGAAAGCCUGAAGGAGCGACGCCGCGUGGGGGAUGAAUGGCUUCGGCCCGUAAACCCCUGUCAUUUGCGAACAAGUUAUUUCACCUAACACGUGAAGUAUUGAUUGUAGCGAAAGAGGAAGGGACGGCUAACUCUGUGCCAGCAGCCGCGGUAAUACAGAGGUCCCAAGCGUUGUUCGGAUUCACUGGGCGUAAAGGGUGCGUAGGCGGUCGGGUAAGUCUGACGUGAAAUCUCCGAGCUCAACUCGGAAACUGCGUUGGAUACUAUCCGGCUCGAGGAAUGGAGGGGAGACUGGAAUACUUGGUGUAGCAGUGAAAUGCGUAGAUAUCAAGUGGAACACCAGUGGCGAAGGCGAGUCUCUGGACAUUUCCUGACGCUGAGGCACGAAAGCCAGGGGAGCAAA
RNAcentral lists this ribosomal RNA (426 nucleotides) under uncultured Verrucomicrobiota bacterium. Its description in RNAcentral is "bacterial SSU rRNA". It matches the Rfam family "Bacterial small subunit ribosomal RNA", at positions 353 to 772 of the family's 1533-position model. Lineage: Bacteria; Pseudomonadati; Verrucomicrobiota. The record is from RNAcentral.